UGGCUCAGAACGAACGCUGGCGGCAUGCCUAACACAUGCAAGUCGAACGCCGGUAGCGAUACCGGAGUGGCGCACGGGUGAGUAACGCGUGGGAACCUGCCCUUGAGUGGGGGAUAACCCGGCGAAAGCCGGGCUAAUACCGCAUACGCCCAUGGAGAGAUCCAUGGGGAAAGAUUUAUCGCUCGAGGAGGGGCCCGCGUGGGAUUAGCUAGUUGGUGAGGUAACGUCUCACCAAGGCGAGGAUACAUAGCUGGUCUGAGAGGAUGAUCAGCCACACUGGGACUUUCUCUCGGCCCANAGAACUACGGGAGGCA
RNAcentral lists this ribosomal RNA (314 nucleotides) under uncultured Alphaproteobacteria bacterium. Its description in RNAcentral is "bacterial SSU rRNA". It matches the Rfam family "Bacterial small subunit ribosomal RNA", at positions 20 to 353 of the family's 1533-position model. The record is from RNAcentral. Lineage: Bacteria; Pseudomonadati; Pseudomonadota; Alphaproteobacteria.